Molecule: long non-coding RNA, 1489 nt
Filed under: Fukomys damarensis (Damara mole-rat)
Lineage: Eukaryota; Metazoa; Chordata; Mammalia; Rodentia; Bathyergidae
Description: lncRNA (ENSFDAG00000032740.1)
Source: RNAcentral
CCGGCGCCAGCGAGAAGAGCGAGCCGGAAGUGCAGUGGUAAGCCCGGGAGGUGCGCUGUUCAGGAAGCGCUCCUGAAAGAACCAUCAGCUUCAGUGUCUCUUCGGCAGGAAAGGAAGCAGCUGCCUUUAGGACGGGACUCGGCGCCAGGGCUGCACCCCCCACCCACCCCACCCCCGCGCAGUUUGGGGCACUGGGUGUUUGGCCCCUUGGUAACCGGAAGUGAUUAAUGUUAAUGCACCGUCCUCCCCUUCACCCAAGAGAUUGCCAGAGGCAAAGCAAGUUAGUGCACGUCCCUCAGAUAUGCGGGGAUGAAAAUGUCAGCUGGGGAGCAGUUAGAAAAGUAAGACUAGCUGUUUUCAAAGUAUUUCUCCAGUAGAGAGAAAGUUCACCAUCAUAGGACAAAGGACAAUCCUAAAUGGCAGUAGCUUCUUUGAAGUGAGGAUGCUGUGGUCUUAUUUUAAAGGACCGCGUCCACCUCCGUGGAGCAAGUGAGAGAAAGGAGCUACCAGAGAGCUUUGCUGCUCAGCGAUCACAGGAAAGACAAGGACAGCGGGGGAGAAUCACCAUGUGUCUCAUGUUCCCCGAGCCAUGUUCAGUCCUCACCUUCAUCUCAUUCAAAUCACAUUCCCCAGUUGCAAGCUAAGGGCCUAGGCCCUCUCAGUGAACUCGUGGAAGACCCCGAUCCUGAAAAUCCAGAACCCACAACGACAAAUGAGUGUCCAUCCCCAGAUAUUUCUCAAAACACCUGUAAAAGCCCUUCAAAGACGAACAAGGUAAUGAUACGGACUUGACUGUGGCCACUGAACCCUGAUGGUAACGCGCAGAGGGGUGUUCUGCUGAUGAAGGGGCGCUCUGGGAUUUCUGGACACUUUCUGCCAAAUGUACUACUCGGUUGUGCUAUCUUACUGGUUCUCCCGCAUUAGACCGUGAGACAAUACAAGGAUUCCAGUUCUCCACGCACACGGCAGUAGCGCAUGCUUUAUCCGAAAGGUCCACCCUGUUCUAACGGUGCCCAGGAAACCCACAACUUUUCACGAGUUACUUAGCCAGCCCGUGCUUUAUAAACCAAAGGUGAAGAGACAUCCAUUUAGAGAGGGUCACUGGCCCUCCUGGCUCAAGGCCCUGUGAUAUUUGAGGGUGGCUUUUCGUUUAACAACGAGAUCACACACGUUUCAGUCCUAUGUGAGUAGUUGACAAGAAAAGCUUGAGGGGCAAAAGUUUAUUUACCCAAACCAAUUUACUCUUAAGCUGGAUAGAGAAAUUUCACUUGCGGAAUGGAAACCUGGUAACUGUUUCGCGGUUAAUACAGUUCCUUCAGUGGGUAAGGCUCAGAAAUGUCCCUGACCAUGAUGUCCUCCAUCUGUCGAGCUACCACAGCUCGGCUACCCUACCCAGAAAGCCUCCGGCCUCCGCGGCCGCCCGGUACGUGAGCGCGACUCCCGGCCAUCUGGCCGUCGGCGCGCAGUCACCGCUUUCUCUCUCUUGCAG